RNAcentral lists this long non-coding RNA (880 nucleotides) under Chinchilla lanigera (long-tailed chinchilla). Its description in RNAcentral is "lncRNA (ENSCLAG00000023227.1)". Lineage: Eukaryota; Metazoa; Chordata; Mammalia; Rodentia; Chinchillidae. The record is from RNAcentral.
AUGGGGAUUAAGAUUCAACAUCUUCUGAUUCCAGUUCUACUCUUAAGUCAUUCUUUGAGGAGAUCCUCAAACUUAGUCCUUUGUCUAUUUAAGAAUACUAUUUGUAUUUGCUUUUUAAGACAGCUCAUUUGGGCCAGGGAUAUAGCCCAGUGGCACAAGUGCUUGCCUGGCAAGCGCAAGGUCCUGAGUUUGAUUCCCAGUACCAAAAAAAAAAAAAAAAAAAAAAAAAAAAAAAAUGACUAAACAUUUCCUCGAGUGAGAAACUCACCUUUUAGUCCUUUCCAUCCAGUACAUCCUUCUAACAAGUAUUGCUAUUAUGUGGUAUCCUGAGAAAAGGUUUAUUCUGUAAUAUCUACUGUGUAUUUUGACUCAUCUAGGCUGGGAAUAGGGGAUUUUUAGUUGAAUUCCUCUCUCCCUGAGAGGCCUAAGGCCUUUUAUAUACAUAUACUAAGUUGUCAAGUGACAUUUAUUUCUCAGUUCCUACCAUGUGCCCUGUGCUUUACAGUUUACACAGCUAUUCAUAUCCUUGUCUCAUUUUAUCUUUACAAUGGUUCUAAGCAGUACAUAGGAUAUCCAUUUCAUAGAUACACAUACUCAGAAAGGCAGUCACUUGCCUCAGAGUAGCUAGCUGUUUAACUCAAAUAUCAGACCCGAGCCUAGAUUAUCUGCAAUAAUAUGCCAAAAUUUCCAGCAGAAUUAGAUGGCAAUUUUUUCUUAUAGAAAUUGUUUCUCUUUAAAAAAUACUUGCCACAUGAUUUAAUUAUAUUGUAAGCAUCUCACUGCUUUUGAAAUUUAAUUUACAAAAACUUGAUACACAAUAUUUUCAGGAUUAUAUCUACUGUGUGGGAUGAGAGUAUGGUUAAAUGCAGUGGCCUCAGGA